GCUUCUAUAGCUUAGUGGUAGAGCGCACCGCUCAUAACGGUUCAGGCCUUGGUUCGAAUCCAAGUGGAAGCACCA
RNAcentral lists this transfer RNA (75 nucleotides) under Epibacterium sp. DP7N7-1. RNAcentral describes it as "tRNA-Ile". It matches the Rfam family "tRNA". Rfam says of the family: Transfer RNA (tRNA) molecules are approximately 80 nucleotides in length. Their secondary structure includes four short double-helical elements and three loops (D, anti-codon, and T loops). Lineage: Bacteria; Pseudomonadati; Pseudomonadota; Alphaproteobacteria; Rhodobacterales; Roseobacteraceae. The record is from RNAcentral.